Molecule: long non-coding RNA, 3304 nt
Organism: Labeo rohita (rohu)
Lineage: Eukaryota; Metazoa; Chordata; Actinopteri; Cypriniformes; Cyprinidae
Exons: 8
Source: RefSeq, a predicted model, not a curated record
CAAGGAGUAGCCAGAGCACAUGGCUAGAUAGAUGCUGCAUUUAAGUUUUCUCUUUACGCUGUUCCUGGGACACUAUUUGUCUAAGAAGACAGAAAGGCUUUCUUUCCUCUGGGAGAGAAGAAAAGGAAGAGGCACACACAAGAACCUUGCAGCUGCCAUCAAACGAAGUUUUACCGUCAAAGUGUGAACAUAAACAGGUCUCUGUCUUGGUUUUGACCACGCUGCUAGCAGAUGCAGCGCGGAAGGCUGUACAUUCGUGUCGACUAAAUUCUUCAGCAUUUGUGAACACUGGACACCUAAGAUGGCACAUUCAAGAUGAUGUGAAUACUGAUGUAACUGUCCUGUUGUUGAUGGCCCACUUUAAAAGAAGCAGAGGAUUUGCUGUUCCUUUUGGCCAGUGUCACAACAACAGCAGCAGAUGCAAAGACCAGGCUUUCACUUCCUUCUACUCUGAUCAUGCUUGGUAAGAUCUUUUAGUACAUGUUUUAGUGAUGUUAAAGGGAUGGGUUUUUUUAAAAAAAAAAACAACAAAAAAAAACUUUUGGUCACACUUUAUUCAUGACUCUCUAUAUCUAACUUUCUACCUAGCAUCUUCUUAAUUACAUUUUGAAUAACAAGAGUAGGUAAAUCAUAAUAGAAUUGUCAUUUUUGGGUGAAUCGUUUUGCUUCAGAUUACGUUUUUCUUUUUUUUUAAUCUUUAAUUGUGUUCCACAGAAGAAAGUAUAUUUGGGAUGACAUGAGGGUGAGUAAAUGUUGAGAGAAUGAAAAUUUUUGGGUGUUGUCUUCUUGCCAUGCAGUAACGAAUAACUGGCAAUUUGAGUUAAAAUAAAAAUUAACUGGUGUACUAUUCUGUUUAUUCUUCUAAUGAAUUCAUAACAGUAUUUUUGUCUAUCCACUGAAAGUACACAAAACCAAAAUAUUUCAGUUCAAAAAGUGCGUAAAUAAAUAGAAUUAAUCUGUAUGAUUAAUCCAUGGGCUUUUAUUCACAUACAAACAUUGAUAAUUCAAAUAUGAAGAGUACUGUACAUCAAAUGUGGUAAACAGAAUCUCAAACAUGCUUGAGAACUGAUUAGGUGUCUUAAACCACUCGAAUCAUAUGGAUUAUUUUUACAAUGUCUUUAUGCACUUUUUGAAGCAAAAAAAAUUAGGUUGCCUGGAUAGACAAAAAUGAAGAGAGAAUAUCAGUUUUCAUGUGUUCCGAAAACAAACUAGUUUCAUGGGUUUGUAACAACAUAGUAAAUGAUGACAAAGUUUUCAUUUUGGCUGAAUGCUCUAAAAUGUUUUUACAAAGAGAAUGAAAUAUGAAUCUAAUGUAUGAUUUUUUUUUUUUUUUUUUUAUGUGAAGGUUCAUUGUGAGGAUCAAUCCUGACACACCUCAAGUGUUCUGCAGAUUUCCAGAUCAGCAAAAGAAGUGGGAAGAUGGUGCAAAGGAGAAAUUCUGGCCUGAACCGUCAUGUGUCUACACAGUAAAAAUAGAUGGGUUAUUUUUUUAACCCAAUAGAUGGGUUACACAUAUUGGGUCACUGUGUUGGGUUAUUUUCUAAAACGUUGGGUUAUUUUUUUUAAACAUGGUUGGGUUGUUUUUAAUAAUAACCCAGCGUUGGGUUUAAUUGGUUCCCGCGGCGACAGUUCAAAUUUUAACGGUCGACAGUGACUGACGACAGAAGAAGCUGCUGCUGCAUCAGUGUGAGACAUGGGUUCUUCAGUGAAGGAAAAACUACAACAGUGGAAUCUCAUACAUUAAACAUCCACAUGCCAAUUAACUGAAAUAUUUCAAGAGGAAGGAGUCAAUGAAGGAAGUUUUAUGCGACCGGAUGACACCAGCAUUGCUGCACUAACUCCAAGAGAAGAAGUUUUUAGCAUUUUCAACGGUGAAGCAGUGGAACAGAAGACCUUACUACAAGCAGUGGAUCUGUGUUUUAGACAUUUCUACAUUUAUGACAUUUACUACCCAAAGCUCCUCUGCACCCAUUUGCAGCACAAGGUCUUUAAUAUUCCAGGAGUUCUUUCAACACAUAUGCCUCUUUCUUAGAAACUUUGUAUUUAUUGAUCCGUAAAAACUUUUUAUGUUGCUGAUUAUCAGCAAGUCCAGCAGCCAGCAGAUUUACUUUGUUUUAUUAUUAUUAUUAUUAUUAUUAUUAUUAUUAUUAUUAUUACUUGUGUUUAUGAUUUUUUUAUUUUUGUUUUAUUUUAAAAGUUUGUAUGUUAUGUUUGUUUUAUUUGUGCACAUUUGUGUAUGUGUUGGGUCAAAAUUAUCAAAUUUUCUUUCAUGCCAAAAAUCAUUAGAAUAUUAAGUAAAGAUCAUGUUCCAUGGAGAUAUUUUGUAAAUCUCCUACCAUAAGUAUAUUGAAACUGAAUUUCUUAUUAGUAAUAUGUAUUGCUAAUAACUUCAUUUGGACAACUUUAAAGGCAAUUUUCUCAAUAUUUAGAUUUUUUUGCACUCUCAGAUUCCAGAUUUUCAAAUAGUUGUUCUAUCCUAUCAAACCACAUAUUAAUAGAAAGCUUAUUUAUUGAGCUUUCAGAUGAUGUUUAUAUUUAAAUACAAAAAACUUGAAAAUAUGUUAGUUGUGUGUGCAUAUUUGUGUUUUGAAUGUAUUAUAUUUUCACAUUCUUGUACACUUAUUUUGUAAACAUUUGCAGUAUGACUGUUUUACAUUUAAAAUAUAUAUUUGUAAAAAUUGUUUUGCAUAUUUAAAUAAACAAAAUAUUUAUUUGAAAACAAAGUAGUGUUAUAGUGUAUUUUUAUAAAAUAAAUAAAUAAAUAAAGAAAGAAAUAAAAACUGAUAUAAAUGAAUCUAAAUUAUUAACUCAACUGUUGGGUUACUUUUAACCCAACUGGAUUUUAACCCAAUUCAUUGGGUUAAAAUAACCCAUAGAUGGCAAGGUGCUAUACCAACCCAUAGUUGGGUUACUAGUUGGGUUAUUUUUAACCCAACAUUUUUUAGUGAGUAAGGAGUUCGUGGAUUUCAGCUAGCAAAACUAUGAAUCCACUAUGGGCAAAUGCAUUUUACUCAGGAGAGUUUUUGUGAAUUUGUAUGUUUUUAAGAUUGUUCUUAUGAUUGAAUUUAUUCCUAAUUUUUUUUUUUUUAAUUGUUGUUAUAUACAAAUAUUUAUGUAUACAUUCUUGAAAAAUGCUUCUCGUGUGUAACAAAAGUUUGAGUUUUAUUUGAAGCUUCACUGUCAUUGCUGUUCGCUGUUAUCAUAGUAUGUUGUGCUUUGGAUAAAUGUUAAGAUUUUUUCUAGCUUUAAUAGUUAAAAUGGUAUGUGCUGUUAUAUAUACACAAUACUUUGUAAUAGUGUUUUG